RNAcentral lists this ribosomal RNA (328 nucleotides) under uncultured eukaryote. Its description in RNAcentral is "partial 18S ribosomal RNA". It matches the Rfam family "Eukaryotic small subunit ribosomal RNA", at positions 1470 to 1796 of the family's 1831-position model. The record is from RNAcentral.
CCCUUAGAUGUCCGGGGCUGCACGCGCGCUACACUGAAGGAAUCAGCGUGCUAAAACCAUUGUCGAAAGGCAUUGGUAAACCCAUUAAAAUCCUACGUGAUUGGGAUCGGGAAUUGCAAUUAUUUCCCUUGAACGAGGAAUUCCCAGUAAGUGUGGGUCAUAAGCUCGCGUUGAUUACGUCCCUGUCCUUUGUACACACCGCCCGUCGCUGCCCGGGACUGAGCCGUUUCGAGAAAAGCGGGGACUGCUGCUGUCGGGGCUUUCGGGCCUUGGCUUCGGUGGAAACCGCUUUAAUCGCAGUGGCUUGAACCGGGCAAAANUCGUAACA